Molecule: long non-coding RNA, 839 nt
Organism: Rosa chinensis
Lineage: Eukaryota; Viridiplantae; Streptophyta; Magnoliopsida; Rosales; Rosaceae
Exons: 3
Source: RefSeq, a predicted model, not a curated record
UUCGAGAAGCUCUCUUCUCUCUCUUCUGUGCUCCCACACUUGCAUCUCCAUUCUUCGCUUGUCAUUGAACUCACCCAAACUAUCAAUCCAUCAUCCAAUGAAUUGUCCGUGAAGGGGAUCAAGGGGCAUCUCAGUCCUUUGCCGUCGGCUUGCAUCGGCGACAUAGUGAUGGCCACCGCGAAGAAAGAAAAGCCGAAUCUGAGGAAGAAGGAUGGCCGCCACGAUGGUUAAACCCGAUUGGAAGAAGCUCAACUAGAUCGACCUCAUCAGAAUCUAGUUUCAGUGACUCAAUUUUUUAUGGGUUUAUGCCUAUCAACUCUAAUCAAGAUCCCCAAUUUCAUCAAUGUGAAAUUGGAAUUCGUAGAGGUUGCUGAAGGCCUAACUUGUGGAACUCCUCAUAUGAUCAGUGCUACGAUUGAAGGCCUUGCUCUGUUGGCUUAUGAGUUUUCUGACCUUGUUUUCAACUCCAUUUAUAAUUUCUUUUAGAUCUGAACAAUUGUUCAUUGGGCCAAAGUAAACAUUAAGUUUUCAAGUCAAAACCAAUCUCCAUUGCGCUACUUUGAGUUAACUCGCUCUCUGUUUUUAUGUAUGCAAGGAUGGCUGUCACGAUGCACGCCAAGUUAAACGGGAAGAAUCUCAACCAGAUCGACCUCAUUAGAAUCUGGUUUCAGUGUUUCAAUAAAGUAUGGGUCUACGCCUAUCAUCUCUAAUCCAAGAUCUCAAAUUUCAUCACUGAGUAGAGGCUGCAACCAUGGCAGUGGCUAAACCCAAGCCGAUCAUCAUUGAACCCAUUCAUCCCCAGAAAGAUGAAAUAAAAUGAAUAAGAUCAGGAUAUCAAC